Homo sapiens (human) is the source of this 930-nucleotide long non-coding RNA. Ensembl annotates it as long intergenic non-protein coding RNA 2180. Lineage: Eukaryota; Metazoa; Chordata; Mammalia; Primates; Hominidae. The record is from Ensembl.
GGUCUUGAACACUGCUGGAAGCCUACUAGAUAUUUAAUGUAAUCACCAUGAUAAUGGCUAAGAUUUAUUAAGCAUCUGCUAUGUGCUUUAUGGUGCUAAGAACUUCUCAUGUAUUUACUCAUUGAAUCUUCACAAAAACCUUAUGAACAUCAGAGCUGAUGAAUACUCAGUCAGAAGAAAUGCAGGCCUGCAGGUUUGUCCACAAAGUGUUCCCAUCAACCGUGACGGCUCUCUCAAAUGUUACUGUCUAUAUGAAUCCACCUUGGGAUAUUAGUAAAAUGAGUUUCUGAUACAGAAGAUCUAGAAAGCGCCUGAAAUGCUGAUAUUCUGUCUCCCAGAAUGACAAAGCAAAAGCAAAGAGGAGAAGAAUGAAGUAAAGACAACCAAAGGAAAAGACUGAUGGCUCCUUAAGAAUGAUCUUGAUAAAGGAAUGGUGGCUGAGGGGUCCAUCUCCUAAACCACCCACCUUACUGACUCCCUAGAGCAAUGCCAUACAGAAAGCUGCACCUUGAGGGGAAGACACAAGAAUCCUGGAGUGGAAAAAAAUUGGGUAAUGAUGACAGCCUUCGAGGUCUUGAGAGUAAAGCAGAAGCAAAAAAAAAGUGUUAUUUUUAUCUUUUGAAGAUGGUUCCCUCUUAAGACUUUUGCGAAUGAUUAAGAUUUCAAUUAUGUUCCAGGAAAAAAAUAAGAUUUUUGCUUGACAAAAAAAAUUUUUGUCUAGAACAGGUGGGAAGGAAGAGAUAGUUUAGCCACAUCCAAGAGACCUGUAAAUUGGGUACAGUGAAGUGAAUGGUGUACCAGUCAUAAAAGAAUGUUAACUGGAGAAGUCUCUGCUGUCUUCCUGUAACUGAGGGGGGUGUAACCAUCCUUGUGGAAGCGUCCACUUUUAUUGAAGAUUGGCUAAAUAAAUCUGUGCCUACUGAAACUCAA